Long non-coding RNA from Gavialis gangeticus (Gharial), 1040 nucleotides. RefSeq lists it as uncharacterized. Lineage: Eukaryota; Metazoa; Chordata; Crocodylia; Gavialidae. The transcript has 2 exons. The record is from RefSeq and is a predicted model, not a curated record.
CUGCAUUUUCAAAGCUCUCAUAGAUUCUGCCCAGGCCUGAAAGGCAAACAAAAAAGACCGAAGCUUGCCAGAAACUGAUGAUACCUCAGGGAAAGAGAGUGCCGAGGAAAAACACAGACACUCUACAAAAUGACUGAGAGAGCUUUCCAGGCAAAUACCUGUAGAUGAACAAAGACGGCUCAGCACAGAAUAAAGAUGACUCUGAGAAUAGGCAUGCUGUCCAAUAGCCUCUGGCAGCAAGCAGGUGAAAUGAGGCAUCAAGGUGAGAGAGACUAGAACAACAACAAAAAUCCCACCAGAUGAAAAUGCAUUAGCACUUUUUUCCACUGACAUCUGGAUUUCUUUCAAAUGUGAUGUGAACAACAAACAUUUCGGCAUGCAGCACUGCCCUGGUGAACUCAGCAACCUGGAGAGCCCCAAGACCACCCAGCACAUUCAACCAUAAACAUGCGAGCUAUCAGAAAUAGAAGACCAUAGCUAGAGGGGGAAAAAGGUAUCUAAUGAAGUCCUGCAGCAUUGCUUUAUACCCCUACUCUAUCUCGGGUACUUCAUUGCUUUGCUGCCUUGCUAUAGGAGGUGAAGCACUUGGAAGAAGCUGUAUCAGGGCUAUUAACUCACUGUGUAAAGCAGAGCCCAGUUUGGAGCAUUUCUCCUCUAAAUCUGUGCAGAGCUGGGCUGCAUCAGGGAAAAGCAAGUGCUGCUAAAGGAUUUUCUGGCCCUGUCUUUUGAUAGAAUGAAAUAACAGAAGAUCUGAGCUGCUUCUAGUGGGAGUCAGGGUCACAGAGUGAUCCAUUAGGAUGGAGUUUGUGCUGCAGCCCUAGCUACAGAGGGUUAAAAAUCUUCUUUGACUUCUUUCUUAUACCAUCAGGCCAGCCCUGUCUUCCCAGCUGACUACUAUGUUACCUAAGAUAUGGAGAGAAGAGGGGGGGAAAAAAGUUGAACACAUCAGAAGUUUAAUCCCACACAAAGCAGCUCAAAUACAAAAAUCUAAAGAUGUAUCACAAAUGAAAUAAAGCUCCCUGAAGUAUUUGUUUAAUGUU